This 439-nucleotide RNase P RNA is filed under the name Gemmatimonadota bacterium. Its description in RNAcentral is "Gemmatimonadetes bacterium (marine sediment metagenome) RNase P RNA component class A". It matches the Rfam family "Bacterial RNase P class A". Rfam says of the family: Ribonuclease P (RNase P) is a ubiquitous endoribonuclease, found in archaea, bacteria and eukarya as well as chloroplasts and mitochondria. Lineage: Bacteria; Pseudomonadati; Gemmatimonadota. The record is from RNAcentral.
GGAGGUGGACGGAGGAUCGCCGGCGGACAGAUCACUUCGCGGGAGGAAAGUCCGGGCUCCACAGGGCAGGGAGGUCGCUAACGGCGACCCGGGGCGACCCGAGGGAAAGCGCCACAGAAACCACACCGCCGAUGGCCGGCGAGGCCCGGGGUCCGAGAGGCGGCCCCGGGAGGAGGCACAGGCAAGGGUGAAAUCGUGGGGUAAGAGCCCACGCGCGACAGCCGGGUGACCGGCGGCGGGGCAAGCCCCUCCCGGAGCAAGCUCGAAUAGGGACACCGUCGAGGGCGGCCCGUCCGACGGCCCCGCCGCGAGGCGGGGCGCGGUGUCCGGGUGGAGCGCUCGAGCGGCGCAGCAAUGCGUCGCCUAGAUGAAUGAUCCUCGCCGGCGCGCGGGGCGACCGCGCGUCGGAACAGAACCCGGCUUACAGUCCGCUCCGGGG